Molecule: ribosomal RNA, 118 nt
Filed under: Neogale vison (American mink)
Lineage: Eukaryota; Metazoa; Chordata; Mammalia; Carnivora; Mustelidae
Source: RNAcentral
GUCUACGGCCAUACUACCCUGAACGCGCCCGAUCUCGUCUGAUCUCGGAAGCUAAGCAGGGUUGGGCCUUGUUAGUACUUGGAUGGGAGACCCACAGAAGACUAGGGACAGGUGGUUC